GUUCCUGCACGUGUUCUUUGAGCUCUGAGAGUCACGAGUCACAAGUUCAGGAUCCAAUUCCUCUGUGCAAAGUUUUCUCCCUGGUAUGAGCUUUGUUUGCUAUUAAUAGCAAAGGGCAAGUGACGACUUGGACAUCUAAGAUGGUAGAAAUGACCUUUUCCUGAGAAAACAUGACCAUUAAAAGACUUCAUUUCCACCAGGGGCAGCCAUGUUCAUUUGGCCUGGGAUGUACUGGCAAACCUGUUUGGCAGCCUUGGGGGUGGCAUACCCUCUCAUCAAUAUGACAGCCACUCUCCCACAUUUGUACCCCGAGAAUUUUUUGUUUGGUUGUUAUUACUGCUGUUCAUUGCUAUCCAUAAGACCAUACCCUUCUGUUGUAGUAUCAUAACCAAAAGACUAUCAAGGUAGUAAAUAUGUUAAGACACGAGCACUGUGGGACAUCUGUGUGAAAGAGACUUCAAUGGCUUUCUUGGCUUAUGAUAGGGAAUUUUUCCUGAUGCUUCAUUAACAAAACAAAUGAAAUUUUCAUAUGAUCUAUGCAUUAAUUUUAAGUGACUGGGCUAAAUACAGAUUGUGCUAAUGCUAGAGACCUCUAAGUCACCUCUGGCAACACCACUGAAUACUUUCACUUGAAAAUGUCAUGCAGAGAAGUCAUGUUGUUAUGGCAGUUUAAUCAUAUGAGACCUGGCAGCUUAAUCCAUGCUUUUGUUCUCAGCAGAUGAAGGCAAGCUGACAUCUGCUACAAUGACAUCUAAAUGACAUCUGUCAUUUAGGCAAAGAAAACUUCUGAGCAGCUGCAUGAUGUAAAUCAGUAAGAUGAACGAAACUCAGAUAAUAUAAUUACCUAAUACAUAAACUGGUUCUCUUGGGGGGGAAAAAUGCAGCGGUAAUUGAGAGCAAUGUCUAAAAAAUGG
Long non-coding RNA from Psammomys obesus (fat sand rat), 914 nucleotides. RefSeq lists it as uncharacterized. Lineage: Eukaryota; Metazoa; Chordata; Mammalia; Rodentia; Muridae. The transcript is spliced from 3 exons. The record is from RefSeq and is a predicted model, not a curated record.